RNAcentral lists this ribosomal RNA (497 nucleotides) under uncultured bacterium. Its description in RNAcentral is "partial 16S ribosomal RNA". It matches the Rfam family "Bacterial small subunit ribosomal RNA", at positions 28 to 507 of the family's 1533-position model. The record is from RNAcentral.
GAUGAACGCUGGCGGCGUGCCUAAUACAUGCAAGUCGAGCGAACAGACGAGGAGCUUGCUCCUCUGAUGUUAGCGGCGGACGGGUGAGUAACACGUGGAUAACCUACCUAUAAGACUGGGAUAACUUCGGGAAACCGGAGCUAAUACCGGAUAACAUGUUGAACCGCAUGGUUCAACAGUGAAAGACGGUCUUGCUGUCACUUAUAGAUGGAUCCGCGCCGCAUUAGCUAGUUGGUAAGGUAACGGCUUACCAAGGCAACGAUGCGUAGCCGACCUGAGAGGGUGAUCGGCCACACUGGAACUGAGACACGGUCCAGACUCCUACGGGAGGCAGCAGUAGGGAAUCUUCCGCAAUGGGCGAAAGCCUGACGGAGCAACGCCGCGUGAGUGAAGAAGGUCUUCGGAUCGUAAAACACUGUUAUUAGGGAAGAACAAAUGUGUAAGUAACUAUGCACGUCUUGACGGUACCUAAUCAGAAAGCCACGGCUAACUACGUG